This 440-nucleotide ribosomal RNA is filed under the name uncultured bacterium. Its description in RNAcentral is "partial 16S ribosomal RNA". It matches the Rfam family "Bacterial small subunit ribosomal RNA", at positions 338 to 795 of the family's 1533-position model. The record is from RNAcentral.
CCUACGGGGGGCAGCAGUGGGGGAUAUUGCACAAUGGGGGAAACCCUGAUGCAGCGACGCCGCGUGAGUGAAGAAGUAUUUCGGUAUGUAAAGCUCUAGCAGCAGGGAAGAAAAUGACAGUACCUGACCAAGAAGCCCCGGCUAACUACGUGCCAGCAGCCGCGGUAAUACGUAGGGGGCAAGCGUUAUCAGGAUUUACUUGGUGUAAGGGGAGAGUAGACGGUGGCGUAAGUCUGGAGUGAAAGCCCGGGGCGCAACCCCGGGACGGCUUUGGAAACUGUGUAACGGGAGUACUGGAAGGGCAGGCGGAAUUCCCGGUGUAGCAGUGAAAUGCGUAGAUAUCAGGAGGAACACUCGGGGCGAAGGCGGGUUGCUGGACAUUAACUGACGCUGAGGCACGAAGGCCAGGGGAGCGAACGGGAUUAGAUACCCGUGUAGUC